AACACCGAUAUGCUUCGGGGAGCUGUAAGCAAGCUUUGAUCCGGAGAUUUCCGAAUGGGGAAACCCACCACUCGUAAUGGAGUGGUAUCCAUAUCUGAAUACAUAGGAUAUGAGAAGGCAGACCCGGGGAACUGAAACAUCUAAGUACCCGGAGGAAGAGAAAGCAAAUGCGAUUCCCUGAGUAGCGGCGAGCGAAACGGGACCAGCCCAAACCAAGAGGCUUGCCUCUUGGGGUUGUAGGACACUCUGUACGGAGUUACAAAGGAACGAGGUAGAUGAAGAGGUCUGGAAAGGCCCGCCAUAGGAGGUAACAGCCCUGUAGUCAAAACUUCGUUCUCUCCUGAGUGGAUCCUGAGUACGGCGGAACACGUGAAAUUCCGUCGGAAUCCGGGAGGACCAUCUCCCAAGGCUAAAUACUCCCUAGUGACCGAUAGUGAACCAGUACCGUGAGGGAAAGGUGAAAAGCACCCCGGAAGGGGAGUGAAAGAGAUCCUGAAACCGUGUGCCUACAAGUAGUCAGAGCCCGUUAACGGGUGAUGGCGUGCCUUUUGUAGAAUGAACCGGCGAGUUACGAUCCCGUGCAAGGUUAAGCAGAAGAUGCGGAGCCGCAGCGAAAGCGAGUCUGAAUAGGGCGAAUUGAGUACGUGGUCGUAGACCCGAAACCAGGUGAUCUACCCAUGUCCAGGGUGAAGUUCAGGUAACACUGAAUGGAGGCCCGAACCCACGCACGUUGAAAAGUGCGGGGAUGAGGUGUGGGUAGGGGUGAAAUGCCAAUCGAACCUGGAGAUAGCUGGUUCUCUCCGAAAUAGCUUUAGGGCUAGCCUCAAGGUAAGAGUCUCGGAGGUAGAGCACUGAUUGGACUAGGGGCCCCUACCGGGUUACCGAAUUCAGUCAAACUCCGAAUGCCGAUGACUUAUCCUUGGGAGUCAGACUGCGAGUGAUAAGAUCCGUAGUCGAAAGGGAAACAGCCCAGACCGCCAGCUAAGGUCCCAAAGUAUACGUUAAGUGGAAAAGGAUGUGGAGUUGCUUAGACAACCAGGAUGUUGGCUUAGAAGCAGCCACCAUUUAAAGAGUGCGUAAUAGCUCACUGGUCGAGUGACUCUGCGCCGAAAAUGUACCGGGGCUAAACGUAUCACCGAAGCUGCGGACUGUUCUUCGAACAGUGGUAGGAGAGCGUUCUAAGGGCUGUGAAGCAAGACCGGAAGGACUUGUGGAGCGCUUAGAAGUGAGAAUGCCGGUAUGAGUAGCGAAAGAGGGGUGAGAAUCCCCUCCACCGAAUGCCUAAGGUUUCCUGAGGAAGGCUCGUCCGCUCAGGGUUAGUCGGGACCUAAGCCGAGGCCGAAAGGCGUAGGCGAUGGAUAACAGGUUGAUAUUCCUGUACCACCUCCUCACCAUUUGAGCAAUGGGGGGACGCAGGAGGAUAGGGUAAGCGCGGUAUUGGAUAUCCGCGUCCAAGCAGUUAGGCUGGGAAAUAGGCAAAUCCGUUUCCCGUGAAGGCUGAGCUGUGAUGGCGAGCGAAUUAUAGUAGCGAAGUUCCUGAUUCCACACUGCCAAGAAAAGCCUCUAGCGAGGUGAGAGGUGCCCGUACCGCAAACCGACACAGGUAGGCGAGGAGAGAAUCCUAAGGUGAUCGAGAGAACUCUCGUUAAGGAACUCGGCAAAAUGACCCCGUAACUUCGGGAGAAGGGGUGCUCUGUUAGGGUGCAAGCCCGAGAGAGCCGCAGUGAAUAGGCCCAGGCGACUGUUUAGCAAAAACACAGGUCUCUGCGAAGCCGUAAGGCGAAGUAUAGGGGCUGACGCCUGCCCGGUGCUGGAAGGUUAAGAGGAGCGCUUAGCGUAAGCGAAGGUGCGAAUUGAAGCCCCAGUAAACGGCGGCCGUAACUAUAACGGUCCUAAGGUAGCGAAAUUCCUUGUCGGGUAAGUUCCGACCCGCACGAAAGGCGCAACGAUCUGGGCACUGUCUCAACGAGAGACUCGGUGAAAUUAUAGUACCUGUGAAGAUGCAGGUUACCCGCGACAGGACGGAAAGACCCCGUGGAGCUUUACUGCAGCCUGAUAUUGAAUGUUGGUACAGCUUGUACAGGAUAGGUAGGAGCCUUGGAAACCGGAGCGCCAGCUUCGGUGGAGGCAUCGGUGGGAUACUACCCUGGCUGUAUUGACCUUCUAACCCGCCGCCCUUAUCGGGCGGGGAGACAGUGUCAGGUGGGCAGUUUGACUGGGGCGGUCGCCUCCUAAAAGGUAACGGAGGCGCCCAAAGGUUCCCUCAGAAUGGUUGGAAAUCAUUCGCAGAGUGUAAAGGCACAAGGGAGCUUGACUGCGAGACCUACAAGUCGAGCAGGGACGAAAGUCGGGCUUAGUGAUCCGGUGGUUCCGCAUGGAAGGGCCAUCGCUCAACGGAUAAAAGCUACCCCGGGGAUAACAGGCUUAUCUCCCCCAAGAGUCCACAUCGACGGGGAGGUUUGGCACCUCGAUGUCGGCUCAUCGCAUCCUGGGGCUGUAGUCGGUCCCAAGGGUUGGGCUGUUCGCCCAUUAAAGCGGUACGCGAGCUGGGUUCAGAACGUCGUGAGACAGUUCGGUCCCUAUCCGUCGCGGGCGCAGGAAAUUUGAGAGGAGCUGUCCUUAGUACGAGAGGACCGGGAUGGACGCACCGCUGGUGUACCAGUUGUUCUGCCAAGGGCAUCGCUGGGUAGCUAUGUGCGGACGGGAUAAGUGCUGAAAGCAUCUAAGCAUGAAGCCCCCCUCAAGAUGAGAUUUCCCAUUCCGCAAGGAAGUAAGAUCCCUGAAAGAUGAUCAGGUUGAUAGGUCUGAGGUGGAAGUGUGGCGACACAUGGAGCUGACAGAUACUAAUCGAUCGAGGACUUAACCAAUUU
RNAcentral lists this ribosomal RNA (2870 nucleotides) under Bacillus velezensis. RNAcentral describes it as "partial 23S ribosomal RNA". It matches the Rfam family "Bacterial large subunit ribosomal RNA". The record is from RNAcentral. Lineage: Bacteria; Bacillati; Bacillota; Bacilli; Caryophanales; Bacillaceae.